Molecule: ribosomal RNA, 440 nt
Filed under: uncultured bacterium
Lineage: Bacteria
Description: partial 16S ribosomal RNA
Rfam family: Bacterial small subunit ribosomal RNA
Source: RNAcentral
CCUACGGGUGACAGCAGUGGGGAAUAUUGGACAAUGGGGGAAACCCUGAUCCAGCGACGCCGCGUGAGUGAAGAAGUAUCUCGGUACGUAAAGCUCUAUCAGCAGGAAAGAAAAUGACGGUACCUGACUAAGAAGCCCCGUCUAACUACGUGCCAGCAGCCGCGGUUAUACGUAGGGGGCCAGCGUUAUCCGGAUUUACUGGGUGUAAAGGGAGCGUAGACGGCAGCGCAAGUCUGGAGUGAAAUGCCGGGGCUCAACCCCGGAACUGCUCUGGAAACUGGGAAGCUGGAGUGCAGGAGAGGUAAGCGGAAUGCCUGGUGUAGCGGUGAAAUGCGUAGAUAUCAGGAGGAACACCGGCGGCGAAGGCGGCUUACUGGACUGUAACUGACGUUGAGGCUCGAAGGCGUGGGGAGCAAACAGGAUUAGAUACCCGUGUAGUC